Molecule: long non-coding RNA, 856 nt
Organism: Uloborus diversus
Lineage: Eukaryota; Metazoa; Arthropoda; Arachnida; Araneae; Uloboridae
Exons: 5
Source: RefSeq, a predicted model, not a curated record
UUUAAGAUACACUUAGUACUCGGGCAGUCAGCGCGAACAUUGUUUCUUAAUUAGAGAAGUCUUAAGAAAAUUUGUUAAAAUUUCUUUCAAAUAAAACCUUACAUAUGAAGCGUAUUCGUUAGUUUAACAUUAUGUUUGGAAUUCAAAUGGAGGAUCUUCUUUCGAACUUAUAUUUGACCUAUCCAAUCAUAAGUGCCUUAUGGGUUGCUUCGAAAUUCAAAGUUAAAGUGAUUUCUGAUUGAUUACGGCAUGAUAUGAAGAAGUGCUAUACCAAUGAAUAACGCCGAAUCUUUGUUCGAGACUCUGCGCUGCAUCUUUGGGUCUGAUACCUUGCCACAGGGAGGCUAAAAUUCAGGUUCGAUUAAACAAAUAUUUGAAGACUGCGAUGAGCCUCCACGACCUGUGUAAGAACCCCUUAAUACCUUAAGACUUGUCAACAAAUUUGCAUUAUCAGGGAGCACGGCCAGGAGGAAUUGGAUUCAUUUGCAUGUUGCCAUGGGAACACAAGACAAGAGAGAAAAAAGAUCUCAAAAAUUUUGCCCUACAUCUAGUUUCGGUUUGGUCUAGCAAAAUGUGCAUCUAAAUCAAGUAACAAGGUGGAAUAUCCGUAGUUUAUCCCGAAAAGGAAAGAACAAAAGCAGAAAUGCAUAAUAGGCCACUGGGAGUUACUGACGGUAUGAAAACUGCCUUAUGUAGGAAAGCGCCAUCUUUUUGAAAGCAUAUUUUCGUCAAUGAAAAGAGCUGUAUCUGUAAACAUCUUCAACUCAUCUCAUUCAAGUCUAUCAAUUAGUCAUUGAUGUGCACUCGACAAAGAAUAAAAGUUUUGAAAACAAAUUCUGAAAGUGUAUAACCAUAA